UACAGAGGGUGCAAGCGUUGUUCGGAAUUAUUGGGCGUAAAGGGCGCGUAGGCGGUGCCACAAGUCACCUGUGAAAUCUCCUGGCUCAACUGGGAGGGUGCGCCGGAAACUGGAGUGCUUGAGCGUGGGAGAGGAAAGCGGAAUUCCUGGUGUAGCGGUGAAAUGCGUAGAUAUCAGGAGGAACACCUGUGGUGUAGACGGCUUUCUGGACCAUAGCUGACGCUGAGACACGAAAGCGUGGGUAGCAAACAGG
Molecule: ribosomal RNA, 253 nt
Filed under: uncultured bacterium
Lineage: Bacteria
Description: partial 16S ribosomal RNA
Rfam family: Bacterial small subunit ribosomal RNA
Source: RNAcentral